AGUGAACGCUGGCGGUAGGCCUAACACAUGCAAGUCGAACGGCAGCACAGUAAGAGCUUGCUCUUACGGGUGGCGAGUGGCGGACGGGUGAGGAAUACAUCGGAAUCUACUUUUUCGUGGGGGAUAACGUAGGGAAACUUACGCUAAUACCGCAUACGACCUACGGGUGAAAGCAGGGGAUCUUCGGACCUUGCGCGAUUGAAUGAGCCGAUGUCGGAUUAGCUAGUUGGCGGGGUAAAGGCCCACCAAGGCGACGAUCCGUAGCUGGUCUGAGAGGAUGAUCAGCCACACUGGAACUGAGGCACGGUCCAGACUCCUACGGGAGGCAGCAGUGGGGAAUAUUGGACAAUGGGCGCAAGCCUGAUCCAGCCAUACCGCGUGGGUGAAGAAGGCCUCCGGGUUGUAAAGCCCUUUUGUUGGGAAAGAAAAGCAGCAGGUUAAUACCCCGCUGUUCUGACGGUACCCAAAGAAUAAGCACCGGCUAACUUCGUG
RNAcentral lists this ribosomal RNA (492 nucleotides) under uncultured bacterium. RNAcentral describes it as "partial 16S ribosomal RNA". It matches the Rfam family "Bacterial small subunit ribosomal RNA", at positions 29 to 507 of the family's 1533-position model. The record is from RNAcentral.